RNAcentral lists this ribosomal RNA (1419 nucleotides) under Triticum aestivum (bread wheat). RNAcentral's name for it is "partial small subunit ribosomal RNA". The record is from RNAcentral. Lineage: Eukaryota; Viridiplantae; Streptophyta; Magnoliopsida; Poales; Poaceae.
AUGGAAGAGAGGAGUGUUUUGACCCAGCGUUAUGAAAUCGGGAGGCAAUUAGGACAAGGCACCUUUGCAAAGGUAUACUAUGCUCGCAAUCUAGCAAAUGGUCAGUCUGUUGCCAUAAAAAUACUCGAUAAGGACAAGAUCUUGAAGGUUGGUCUCGUGGAUCAGAUAAAGAGGGAGAUCUCGAUAAUGAGAAUUGUAAGGCAUCCGAAUGUUCUGCAGCUUUUUGAGGUAAUGGCUACCAGGAGCAAGAUUUACUUCGUUCUGGAGUACGCUAAAGGCGGUGAGCUUUUCAACAAAUUAGCCAAGGGGAAGCUUACUGAGGAGGGGGCAAGGACAUAUUUUCACCAGUUGAUCUCUGCUAUAGAUUAUUGCCACAGUAGAGGUGUUUACCAUCGUGACUUGAAGCCUGAAAACCUACUAGUGGAUGAGUAUGGGACCCUUAGGGUCUCUGAUUUUGGUUUAAGUGCGCUAACCAAGUCAAAGUGGCGAGAUGGUCUGCUCCACACCGCAUGUGGAACUCCGGCUUAUGUUGCUCCGGAAGUGCUCAGCAGGAAAGGCUACAACGGUGCAAAGGCAGAUGUAUGGUCUUGUGGAGUGAUUCUGUUUGUUCUUGUUGCCGGUUAUCUUCCUUUCCAUGAAAGAAACCUUAUGGAGUUGUAUAGAAAGAUUGCUAAGGCUGAGUACAGAUGCCCUCGUUAUUUUUCCACUGAGCUGAAGGAGCUCCUUAGUGGGAUCCUUGAUCCAGAUCCUAAUACUAGAAUGUCCAUCGCAAGGAUAAAGAGAAGUCCUUGGUAUAGGAAGCCGGUUGAGAGAACACCACUGAGAAAAGACAAGACUUAUGCGAGUGAAGCUGCUGCGUCUGGCCUUGCACGUCGCAACAGUUCCGAUGGACCGGCGAGCAUGAAUGCAUUUAAUAUCAUUUCCCUCACUCCUGGGUUCGAUCUAUCUGGUUUGUUCGAUGAAAGAUAUAGCCAAAGGGAGGCCCGGUUUGCUUCCAAUGAGCCGCCAGCAGCUGUAUUUGUGAAGCUGGAGGAACUUGCCCAACGCAUGAAGCUUAAAGUUACAAAGAAAGACAAUGGAGCGAUGAAAUUGGCCGCACCGAGGGAAGGAAAGAAGGGUACUCUUGAGUUUGAAGCAGAAAUCUAUGAGCUCACGUCGUCUUUUCUCUUAGUCGAGUUGAAGAAGACCAAUGGUGACACUAUGGAGUACCAGAAACUGUUGAAAGAAGACAUUAGGCCAUCACUCAAGGACAUUGUUUGGUCAUGGCAUGGCGAUGUUCAGCAGCAGGCACAGCUACCUCAGGAUCCACAGUGGCCACCACAGCAGCAGGCACAGCAACCUCAGGAUCGACAGUGGCCGCCGCCGCUCCCACCACAGCGGUUAGAACAUUUAGCUGCAAAUGCCCCACUGCCACAAUAA